This 69-nucleotide transfer RNA is filed under the name Sphaerodactylus townsendi. Its description in RNAcentral is "tRNA-Ala". Lineage: Eukaryota; Metazoa; Chordata; Lepidosauria; Squamata; Sphaerodactylidae. The record is from RNAcentral.
GCCAUGUCUCAGCAGAAGAGUAUCUGCUUGGCAUGCAGAAGGUCCCAGCAUCAAUCCCUGGUAUCUCCU